This is a long non-coding RNA of Leptidea sinapis, 10603 nucleotides long. RefSeq lists it as uncharacterized. The transcript is spliced from 2 exons. NCBI's taxonomy places the organism in Eukaryota, Metazoa, Arthropoda, Insecta, Lepidoptera, Pieridae. The record is from RefSeq and is a predicted model, not a curated record.
GAGAAAAAUUUUUCAAAAAUUAAAAGGAAAUAAUUGAAAUUUUCAAACAAACAAAUUAUAUACUUGGGAAAGAAAAGUUUAAUCACCCUAUGAAGUCGCGCAAAAUGGCUGCCGCGCCCGGCUACUAGAUUUCUUACAGGAUGUUCCGAAAUUAUAUUAUGGAAAAUUGUUUUUUUUUUUUAUGAUUACGGUGAAGUAGUUCUACCAGUUUGUUUAUUUAAUGUCGCCAUUUUAUCGCCGCGCUGUAUAAGACUGUUACUAAAAUGUACUAUGUAAAGUAUACAGAUAUAUACUAAUUAUUUUUAAAUUCUAUAUAUAUCUUAUUUUUUUUUAUUAUUUAUGUACUAGAUCUUGGAUAACCAUUCUGAGCUUAAAUUAAAAAUAUAACAUUUAGGUUUUUAAAUUACUUUAGUUUCAGAGAUCUGAAUUGUUAAGUUAUAUUUGUAAAAAUAUAGUUUAUCUGAGUAAAUAAAUUAUAUUUUAUAAUAUUAUUUCUAAAUAUAUGUAUUGGGUUGACGAAACUUUCAAACGAUCUACUAUCAAAAUUGCCGUAGCAAAACAACUUAGUAAUAAUGCAGACUUAGAUUAAGGAUUGGUCUCCGAUGCGCUCCAACUAGAUACCGCAGGCGUAGUCGCAAUGUGGGCGUACUCGAGCCAAUCUCGAACAAUGUUUGUCGCACGACACGCCACAAGUUAGGGUAUCAUCCCCACCAUCUGGAUGUGUGGCGGUCCUCCACAGUAGGGUUUCCAAGGAACUUUCUUCCACGUACUACAAAACUGUAGAAUGAGCUUCCUUGUGCGGUCUUUCCGGGACGCUACGACAUGGGUACCUUCAAAAAAAGCGCGUACACCUUAAAGGCCGGCAAUGCUCUUGUGAUUCCUCUGGUGUUGCAAGAUAAUGUGGGCGGCGGUGAUCACUUAACACCAGGUGACUCGUACGCUCGUUUGUCCUCCUAUUCCAUAAAAAAAAAUGUGCGAUGUUGACGUGCAACAUGUUCUGUUAAACUUUGUAAAAAUAAUCACAUAUCAUCAGUAAGCAUUUUGUAUUUUAUUAAUUGCAAUGUAAAAUAACACGAAGCGUAUGUUACAAAAUUUAAAAGAUGCCAUCGAGUGUCAAGAUGCCCCACGCACACAUGCAUCUAAUAGUUCUUAUAAUAAAAAAGCUAUUGUUAUUAGGUAGCGCGGUAUCUAGUUGGAGCGCAGCGUAGACCCUUCUAGAUCCUUAAUCUAAGGAAAUACAAUAUAACUGAACAUAAUAGAUUUGAAUCGUUUGAAUGAGUCUUCGCUCCCUCGUCUACUGUACACAAGAGGAGAAAUACUCACCGGACAUAUUUAUCUUAAGAUAUAGUUGCCACCAUGAAAUUAAAAUAAACUAGGAUUUGAUGUUGGAAUAACCAGGACAAUUCAGUUUAACAACGAGACGCAGUAAUAGCUAUUUGAAUUAAUAUUUAAAUAAAAAACAUAUUUUUUAAAUACAACCAGUGGGAGGCUCCUUUGCACAGGAUGCCGGCUGGAUUUUGGGCACCACAACGGCGUCUAUUUCUGCCGUGAGGCAGCAAUGUGUAUACAUUAUUGUGUUUCGCUCUGAAGGGUGCCGUAACUAGUGAAAUUGCUGGGCAAAUAAUAAGACUUAACAUCUUAUGUCUCAAGUUGGAAAAGUGCCCCAUUUUUGUGUUUUUCAAGAAUCCUGAGCGGCACUGUGUUGUAAUGGGCAGGGCGUAUCAAUUACCAUCAGCUGAACGUCCUGCUCGUCUCGUCCCUUAUUGUCAUAAAAAAGUAUUUGAACAAUGUUAUACGAAUUGAAAACAAAAUAAAUUAUUGAUCUAAAAGCGACGACAUAAAUUAAAUAUUAUCACAUUUACAAGUAUCUCUCUAUUUUAAUCUGUAUUCUCUAAAUAAAUGAUACCAAUGAUUUAAAAAAAACUAAUUAUGUGAGUGAUGUGGACAGGUGCUGGUCUUAUACAACGGGGUGUUUUGUCACUUGUUUAUGGGAACAAGUUAUCUAAAACACGACACAUACCUUUUUUUUGUGACAGUAAGGGACGAGACGAGCAGGACGUUCAGCUGAUGUUAAUUGAUACGCCCUGCCCGUUACAAUGCAGUGACGCUCAGGAUUAUUGGAAAUAAAAACCCAAAAGUUCUGUCACCUUGAGGCAUAAGAUGUGAAGUCUCAUUUGCCCAGUAAUCUCACUAGCUACGUAGCUCAUCAGACCGAAACAGUAAUGCUUACACAUUACUGCAUCACGGCAGAAAUAGGCGCCGAUGUGGUAUCCAUAAUGUAGCCGGCUUCCUGUGCAAAGGAGCCUUCCACUGGUAAAUAUAUAUAAGUAUCACACAUUUGAAACUGUAAUAAGAAGCGUUAUUAGCAACGAAAUCAGUAUUAAAAAAAUAAAAUCUGGUAUUUUAUUUAAUGUAAGAUAUCUUUUGUUGGCUUUUAAUAACUUCCCUUGUACAUUUUGAGGCGCAGACCAUUCCUAAGACACCUACUGCUACUGUUUCGUUCAAAAGAGUAUCUUGGUAUCAAUUCGAUACGAGUACACUUUGAAUCCGUUUGUUUUGUUUCAUCAUCAGCCGGAAGACGUCCACUACUGGACAAAGGCCUCCCCCAAUGAAAGCCCUCGUCCAACGUAUUCCGGCGAUCUUGACCAGAUCGUCGGUCCAUCUUGUGGGGGUCCUACCAACACUGCGUCUUCCGGUACGUGGUCGCCAUUCGAGGACUUUUACUGCCCCAACAGUCAUCUGUCCGUCGAACUAUGUGUCCUGCCCACUGGCACUUCAGUUUCGCAAUCGUUUGGCCUAUGUCGGUUACUUUGGUUCUCCUACGGAUCUCCUCCUUCAUGAUUCGAUCUCGCAAGGAAACUCCGAGCCGACCGAGCUACCAUGAGCUUUCUCAAAAGGCCCAUAGUUAGCGACCACGUCUGCGUACCGUUGCCUUGUUUAUACUACCGCUAAUAUGGACGAAUUAAAUCUUCAAUUAAAUCUUCACAGAUAAUUUUUUAUCUAUUUUGGGCAUUUACUAGUGAGUGGCUUCUUAGCACAGGAUGCCGGCUAGAUUAUGGGUACCACAACGGCGCCUAUUUCUGCCGUGAAGCAGGAUUGUAAGCAUUACUGUUUCGCUAUGAAGGGCGCCGUAGUAAAAUUACUGGGCAAAUGAGACUUAUCAUUUUAUGUCUCAAGGUGACGAGCGCAAUUGUAGUGCCGCUCAGAAUUUUUGGGCUUUUCAAGAAUCCUGAGCGGCACUGCAUUGUAAUGGGUAGGGCGUAUCAAUUUACAUCAGCUGAACGCCCUGCUCGUCUCCUCCCUUAUUUACAUAAAAAAGCUACGGCCCGCAUCAGUCCUCUCCUAUCCCUCUCGUCAUCUCCCCAUACGGGCGAAGUCUAAUUUUAACGGUUUCUUUAAAAUCUUAAUUAUCUGUACGAUAUUUUUUUAGGAUCCCCAGCAUUUCAUUUAAAUGUAAAGUUAUAAGAAUACGAUCAAGGUUAAUAAAUAAAAAUGAAAACCAAUUAAUUGACAUUGAAAUAAUAACCGCAGAAGUUUGUGUGUUGUUGUAAAAUGAUUGUAUAUAAAAUAUGUCUUUCAUAAUAUACAUAGAUAUUACCACCUACACGGUGGUAAUAUCUAUGUAAACGUGUUCCCAGAGUAAUAAAUAACCAACUUAGAUUAAGGAUUGGUCUCCGCUGCGCUCCAACUAGACACCGCAGGCGUAGUCGCAAUGUGCAGCAACUAAUACUACGCCCAAUUGGGCGUACUCGAGCCAGUCUCGAUCAAUUUGUCACGUCGACGCGCCACAAUAUGUUCUGUUAAACUUUUGAUGAUAAUGUGUAGUAAAAGAAAUAAGAAAGACCCUGGGAUCACAUAUCAUCAGUAAGUAUUUUGUAUUUUAUUAAUUUCAAUGUAAAAUAACACGAAGCGUAUGCUACAAAUUCGAAAGAUGCCAUUUAGUGUCAAGAUGCCACGCACACAAGCAUCUAAUAGUUGUCGCAAUAAAAAAGCUAUUGUUCUUAGGUAGUGCGGUAUCUAGUUGGAGCGCAGCGGAGACCAAUCCUUAAUCAGAGAUAACCAAAUUAUCAAGGGAAAUCUGUAUUAUUUUGAUGUUAUUAUGAUUGUCAUGUUGAAAUAAUUUGCCGGCAUUUUGAAAACCUGUAUGUAAGUAGGUAGAGUUCUUAUAUGAAUGUAUGUUUAUAAGAUUUUUGAAUAUUUGGUGUGAUUCAGUAUAAACGAUAGUAUAUUGUACAAAUUUCCGUUACCAUGAUACUUGAAUGUACAUAAUGUGCAAAUAUUUACGCUUAUUGUAUGAAGUAUAUAAUAUUCUAAUUAAAUUCUAAGGGUUGUAUACUUUACGCAAACACUGCCGAUUUUUUUUUACAUUUUUUUUUAUACAGCAACAAAGGUUACAGGCAAUGAAAGGAAAUAGAAAGUUAUAAUUACCAUCUUUAACAAACGCUUAUAAAAAAGUCAUAAAAGGCAUUUAUUUUCUCAAAAUUGAUUCUUUUAGCAUUAUUUUUGAUGUCAUUUCUAAUACUACUUGCUUUGGAAACAAAUGGCGCUCUGAGAGAGAAGAAUCGGCGCAAGAAACUCUCCCAGCAUUUUUUUUUGCGCUCUUUUUAAUAAAAUAUACAAUACUUAUAUACUUUGCCUCAUGUUUAGCAUAUAUAUAUAUAUAUAUAUAUUAUGCUUUAUAUUUAGUAAGCAAUUUAUUUUUAUACAAUGGUUAUAUUAUAUUUGUAUAUGUGUCUACCUAUUUAUUUUCGUCGUCAAAAGUCAAAAGUCGUCAGUCAAGUGCCAGAUUUUGGAGAGACAACACUGCCUCGUGCAGAGGCGAAACACGUGUCGAAUUGUUUAAAGACAAAUAUUGGCGGAAUUAACACUAAAGAAAACUUAAAUCAUUUGUAUAAUUAUGGAUUUCCGCAAAGUAACGCCUACUUCAAUAAAUUUAACUAUUUUUUUUCAUAGUAACAUUUCACUAAUGGCGCCCUGGUUAGUGAUGUAACUUAUUAUUCAUUGUAUGUGCCAUUGUAUUAUUGUUUUCACACGACAGCUCAUAAAAGAUAUUUAUAAUUUGUUUAAUACCAUUAUUUUGUAAAAUUUCCUCUUUCAAUGACGCUAUAUUUUGUUUAUGCUAUAUAUAUUUUUAGUAGGCAUGUAUUUACAAUUCUGAAAAAUAUCCUACUAUACCUAUAAUCUUAUAAAAUUGAUUUAUAUUACUGGCCUUAAUUAUGAUUAAAUAAAAUUAUUUCAUAAAUAUUUAUUAUUUGCAUCUCUAUUGUAAUAUCUCUUAUAUGUCAUACAGAGAAAAAAUCUGAAACAAAAAUCUCUGACAAAAAAUAUAGACAUAAAUUUAGUGAUGACAAAAAAUAAUGAAAGUGAUGGUCUCUCCAAAAAUUUGUUCAAAAAGGUUAGAUAUGUAUUAUAAAUAUAACAAGGACAUAUAUAUAUAUAUAUUUAAGUAUUUCGAAUUAUUUGGUUUAAAAUAUUUCAAACGCAAGUGUAACAUAAGAAUGUACCUUGCUGCAUGCUGCAAUGUGCCUUGCUGCAUGCUGCAAUGUACAUUGCUGCAUGAGUAUUGUUACAUGAAUGUAAAAUAAAAUUAUGUCAGUUUCAAGUACGGCAAUACACAUCCCAAGAUGAUUGAUAAUAUUUGCAGGUUUUGAGCUUGAUCACACUUAUAUGAGUGAAAUAAUAUAAUCUCAGCACACAGAGGUAAUGUAUGUAUCCAAUAUUGUAUAAGUAAUACGCUUUUUGAAUGCAUUUUAUAACAAGCUGAGACUUGAAAAACACAUACCAAGAUUUACGAACUAUGCGUCACGCGAACGAGUGGCUCAGUUCAGACGGAACCCGAGAGGCCGCGGGUUGAGUUCCGCAUCGUUGAUAAAUUUUGGUAAAUAGCAAAUUGUCCAAUAUCUUGUCUCAAACGUAUCACUAUUAAUAUAGUUAUGUACACUAAUAGAACUGACUCAAGUGAUCAUAUAACAAAAUGUCGUCGCUUAUAUAAUUAUAACUGAUUGCUUGAUAUUGUUCACACUGGGUACAAUUUAUGAUAAAAUAAUACAUCUUCUUCACAGUUGUUCCCUCAUUGCUGAGGAUCGUGACUCCGCUUAAGUUCGUCUACAGCUUUCCUCCGUUUCGGUCUGUCGCAUGGUGGAGUGCGAUGCUGAUGGGUUGGUUAGUCUGCUCGGAUAUUUGGUCAGACCAGCGUCGUGGGCUCCGGCCUCUUGGUCUCUUCCCCUCAAUUUUCCCGGUGACCAUCAGACGUUCAAGGUUAUCAGAUAGCACCGCGUCGUGCAAUGUGGCCAAAGUAUGUCAUGAUCCGCUGCAGACAUGUAGUACAUACAAACAAAAUAAUACAUACCUAUUACUAAUGGCCGCAUUAUCUCUAGACCUCGCUGGAACGUUAACCCCCCUCCUGUUCCCCUUUCACCCCCUCGUGCUCGGCUGCCAGAAAAAUAAAUACUUUUUUUACUUAACCCAGAUUCGUUCAUUGUUUUUUCAUGAUAAUAAUAAUGAAUAAUCAGCAUCAGAACAACACCUUUACAUCAAUCUUAUAUCUUUAAACGAGCAAUUCUUGUAUACAUAUAUAUAUAAUUUGAAUCUCGGAAACGGCUCCAACGAUUUUAAUGAAAUUUAGUAUACCGGAAGUUUCGGGGGCGAGAAAUCGAUCUAGCAAGGUUUCAAUUUAAAAAAAAAUGUUUUAAUGAGAAACUGCUACAAUAAUAUUAGAAUACAAUGGUAAAUUUCGCCACUAUAUACCAGACUAUAAUAGAUGGGCGAACCGGAAAGUAGAAGACCCCGGUUCGAGAAUCAAGAUAUUCUAUUAGUUUGUUUUUUGUUAAAAUUUUGUACUUUCUUAAAAAGCCGAGCAAAGCUCGGUCGUCCAGGUAGUUAUUUAUAAUACUACGUGUGGCACUCGAGGACCGCCGCGGUGAAGCUAUUUCAUAGCAUUUUUUAUCAACUUAUGCAAUUAUAAUUAUUUAUUUAUUUGACAGGUGAAACUAAAUAAAAAUGCUUGUCAUAAUAAUAAAAAUUAAAAAAACGUAAUAAAAAAAAGAAAUUAAAAAAAAUCACGACUUACCCCAGGCUCGAACCUGGGACCUUCUGCGCUAAAAGCAUACGUGAUAAUCGCUGUUUCACGGCAACUGUAAUGACCGUGGCGAAAUAUCUAUAUAGAUCUAGUAAGUGUUAAGUUAUUUUCGUUACGGAAUUUCUGGAUUCGGUCUCCACGCUCAAGGCCCGCGAUAGAAGCUAUGCAAUAGCUUAAUAAAUCGUUUAUUUGUUAAUAAUAAUAUCCUAACGAUGCUUGUGUUGUGCAACUUAACAAAGCCAUAUGUGUCAAAUACAACGCGUCAACUCUGUCACUAAACGGAGCAGCGAGGGGGUGCGGAAGGAAGGGGAGCGUCGUCCCUCUGCCGCCCGCACGUCAGUUGCGUGCCGCAUGUAAGCUUGUAACGUACAUGAAAUCAGUUGCACGUGUUUGGUGUUCACAGGCGAAAACAGACUUUCGCUACUAAGUGAUUAUUUUUAUUAUAUUGUGCUAUAAAUGGCUGUGCGUUAAAAUGUUCAAGCAAGGCACAAUCGCAUAUUUUUAGUGAGUAAAGGUCAAGACAACGUUGUCGGUAUUUAGUAGCACAAAGGAGUUCGCCCAUUAUUAGUAUUUAUAAAACACAUGCUAUAUUUUUGUUGAAAAUGUUUUCAUACCAACAAUUGUUCUAUUUGUUAUUUAAAUGAAAAAUAAUCAAACUCAAACUAUUUGAUUAAUGUUGUUAUAGUCUGACAACUGCGUGCGCGACCGAUCGAAGCCUUAAAUGGUCUAAUACGUUUUUCGCUUAUUUGAAGCAUAUUUAUUUUGAGGGUAGUUUGAUUUUACUGUGCCCUGAAAUAAAAUGGUUUUUCCACUUGGAUCUCACGGUAUAGAUAUGAAAUAUGUGGUGAACAUGUCAAUUGUUCUGCUUAUUCUUUAUUUGUUUUAGGUUUGUCGUUAAUACAUCACCAGUUUUACCUAAAAAGGUCGGGCUAUGUAGAAUAAUUAAGAGAUCGUCAAUACUAUUUCAGUAACUUUUAAGGCGGCCUAAAAAUAUAGACAUAAUACUCAUUAACAAUAAAAAAAAAUACGUGACUUUUUUUUAAUAAUUUUUGCAAGCGAUGUUUAAAAUUGCGAAUGGUAUUAGGUUAUGUUUGUCAAUUAUUUUCUAUUUUGGUGGGGUAACUGAUAAACCAGUUUUUUGGUGAUUAUAAAGUAACUGUAUAUAUUAUAAUUAAAUUAAAGUAUUUUACCUUUUUUUUACACUUCUUGCAAAUUUAUUUACACGUAUUUUACAUACUGUAUUUGUGAUCGGACAUACAUUUUAAGAACUUAUUCAGCAUUUUGUAUUUAAUUUACCUAAAGAUAACAAAAUAAAAAUAUUUACCUACUGCUUCCUAUUGUAUAAGUUGUAUUGUUUUGUAUGGUAUUUCCGAAAUUAUUGGCGCUAUACCGUACAACUAAAUAAACACAGAAUCGGAAGAAUUGUCAAUGAUGGAUUAGUUACAGUAUGUAUCAAUCAUACCAGAGAAUAGAGGUUUGAGACAGGAACAUCGAAUGGUGAUGUCACCUUUCAUAACAGUGUAGCACCAAAACAAGCCGAUUAACGUGUAAAUACAUAGCCCCACGCACACACACUACUACAGGCCGAUGGGCGGCCAUUAUGAGAAUUGUCAUCGUCUGUGACAGAUCAGUUUGCGUCUCGGUAAAAUAUUUUAAAAAUGCCGUCGUGCGUUGUGAAAUAGUGUAAAAACAAUACUAUAUAAGUAUUUGUGGCCAUAUAUGAUUAUUUAAGGGAGAAAAAAUUGUGUAACUAGUAUCCCCCGUAAACGCACACACACUAGCAUAACGGUGCUUCACUUGCUAAUAUCACGGCGCGGAGUCCUUCUUUUUUUACUCGUCCGUGGGUGAUGUUAAUGAGCUAAGUUUUGAGUUUUGGAUCUCGAGUUUUGAAACGCCCGUGAUGUGUUUAUGAAGAGCAGACUGUCUUAUACUUUCAUAUCAUUUAAUAUCAAGCUAAAUAGAUUUAACAGUUCCAAAAUUAUGUCCAUUAACUGUUCUUAUACUAAUUAAUAAUAAUACGCGCACUUGCAAAUGAUGUAAUUUAAAAAGGUUGGAAUAAUGAAGUCUUAAGUACCAAUACUGGCAAUUCGUCUAAUCGAGGCGCAAGAGUGCCCAGAUUAUACAAUCCUAAUUGAUCAAUAAAAUAAGAUAAUUUUACAAGUGGGAGGCUUCUUUGCACAGGAUGGAUUAUGGAUACCACAUCGGCUUCUGUCAUGAAGCAGUUAUGUGUAAGCAUUACUGGUUUUCGGUCUGAAGGUCGCCGUAGCUAGUGAAAUUACUGGGCAAAUGAGACUUAUUACGUUAUGUCUCAAGGUGACGAGCGCAAUUGUAGCGCCGAAUUUUUUACGUUUUUCAAGAAUCAUGAGCGGCACUGCAUUGUAAUUGGCAGGGUGUUUCAAUUACCAUCAGCUGAACGCCCUGUACGUGCCGUCCCUUAUUUUUAUUUAAUAAAAUGACUACCUCGCAUUCAUUGUUAUUGUGAAGUAACUCGUAGUUCCUGAAAAACGUUCCAAGCCACAAACAUCACAUUUUAAGGGAUUCGUGUUUAAAGUUUAAUUAAUAUUAGUGAGUUCCAUACAUGUGCGUUGGGCUACUAAGUCAUGAUGUCAUUUAAAGAGUGACAGUAGGGCUGCCAUUUUUGGUCAGUCCGUUAAUAUGUAUCACGUGACCUGUUUUGUGUUCCUCAAUUUCGACAUGCUUGUGGUUUGGAACGUUUUUCUGAAAUUACGUUCCAUUAUAAGUACCUACUUUCGCAUUGCGUUCGAUUCUAUGACACCAAUAACAAAAAUACCAAUCACCCUAAAAUCGUAUAAAAUACAAGUCAAAUGUACCGCACACAUUGAUACGAUAUGUAAAGACUUAUAACAUAUGACAAUGUUUUAACACCACUUGUACCUAAUAAAUGUCGGUAUGUGCUAUAUAUUGGUUAAAUAGUAAACUAUUGCAAUAUAAUAUGUUAUAUCAAUUACGUUAAUGUUAAUACACUUUUUUAAAGAUAAAAAUAUUGUUGUACGCAUGCCGGUUGUGACCAAAGCGAACUUCCGUUAACUGUAUUAAAUGUACUAAAAAUUAACAAUAUUAUUUAUAGAUACCAUAACAUAAUGCAUAUAAUAGGUACCUUUUAACCGUACCUGUUACCAAAUUGUGCAACAAUAUAUUUAUUUAGUAAUAUCGGUAUGAAGUAUUAAUAGUUUUUGCUCAAGCUUACCUGAUAUUAUGUUAAUCGGUUACAGUAUGCGGAAUUUUACUCGCCUGCUAAUAAACUAUAGGUUUUAUAUUUUAUAUAGAUCUUCUAAAAUAACACAGUUGUUUAAUAAUAUAUUUCUUUAUUUACAAUUGUAUAUUUUGUGUGAGCAACACACACCACAAACUAUUCUAAAUCUAUAAUAAGUAUUGGUAAUGUGAAUUGAUGUAACUCAGAAUGGAUUGGGUAUCGUUUACGUUUGUAAAUAAGGACUUUGUACAGAGCGCAUGUAAGCUAUAUUAACGCUUACCAUUUAAAAAUUAAAUCACUGUGAAUAACUA